Molecule: ribosomal RNA, 395 nt
Filed under: uncultured bacterium
Lineage: Bacteria
Description: partial 16S ribosomal RNA
Rfam family: Bacterial small subunit ribosomal RNA
Source: RNAcentral
AUACGUAGGGUGCAAGCGUUAAUCGGAAUUACUGGGCGUAAAGCGAGCGCAGGCGGUUUUGUAAGACAGUGGUGAAAUCCCUGGGCUCAACCUGGGAACUGCCAUUGGGACUGCAAGGCUGGAGUGCGGCAGCGGGGGGUGGAAUUCCGCGUGUAGCAGUGAAAUGGUUGGAUAUGCGGAGGAACGCCGAUGGCUGAGGCAAUCCGCUGGGCCGGCACUGGAGGUCAUGCACGAAAGCGUGGGGGGCAAACAGAAUUAGAUACCCGGGUAGUCCACGCCAUAAGCGAUGUCAGCGGGGUGUUGGGGAGUUAGUGUCUCAGUAACGAAGCUAACGCAUGAAGUAGACCGCCUGGGGAGUGCGGCCGCAAGGUUAAAGCUCAAAUGAAUUGACGGGG